GUAGGGAAUAUUGCGCAAUGGACGAAAGUCUGACGCAGCGACGCCGCGUGAGUGAUGAAGGCCUUAGGGUCGUAAAGCUCUGUUGAAUGGGAAGAAAAAAAUGACGGUACCAUUCGAGGAAGGACCGGCUAACUUCGUGCCAGCAGCCGCGGUAAUACGAGGGGUCCUAGCGUUGUUCGGAAUCAUUGGGCGUAAAGGGUGUGUAGGUGGCCAUGUAAGUCAGGUGUGAAAGCCCCGGGCUCAACCCGGGAAGUGCACUUGAUACUGCGUGGCUUGAGUACCGAAGAGGGUAGUGGAAUUCCAGGUGUAGUGGUGAAAUACGUAGAUAUCUGGAGGAACACCGGUGGCGAAGGCGGCUACCUGGUCGAGUACUGACACUGAGACACGAAAGCAUGGGGAUCAAACAGGAUUAGAAACCAGGGUAGUCC
RNAcentral lists this ribosomal RNA (428 nucleotides) under uncultured bacterium. RNAcentral describes it as "partial 16S ribosomal RNA". It matches the Rfam family "Bacterial small subunit ribosomal RNA", at positions 354 to 796 of the family's 1533-position model. The record is from RNAcentral.